This 460-nucleotide ribosomal RNA is filed under the name uncultured bacterium. Its description in RNAcentral is "partial 16S ribosomal RNA". It matches the Rfam family "Bacterial small subunit ribosomal RNA", at positions 338 to 795 of the family's 1533-position model. The record is from RNAcentral.
CCUACGGGAGGCAGCAGUGGGGAAUAUUGGUCAAUGGGCGCGAGCCUGAACCAGCCAAGUCGCGUGAGGGAUGACGGUCCUACGGAUUGUAAACCUCUUUUGCCGGGGGGCAAGCGUUCGUUCGUGAACGCGCGUCGAGAGUCCCCGACGACAAAGCAUCGGCUAACUCCGUGCCAGCAGCCGCGGUAAUACGGAGGAUGCGAGCGUUAUCCGGAUUUAUUGGGUUAAAGGGGUGCGUAGGCGGGAUGCCACGUCAGCGGUAAAAAUGCGGUGCUCAACGCCGGCGAGCCGUUGAAACUGGCGGUCUUGAGUGGGCGAGAAGUAUGCGGAAUGCGUGGUGUAGCGGUGAAAUGCAUAGAUAUCACGCAGAACUCCGAUUGCGAAGGCAGCAUACCGGCGCCCGACUGACGCUGAGGCACGAAAGCGUGGGUAUCGAACAGGAUUAGAUACCCUGGUAGUC